Cygnus olor (mute swan) is the source of this 2338-nucleotide long non-coding RNA. RefSeq lists it as uncharacterized. The record is from RefSeq and is a predicted model, not a curated record. NCBI's taxonomy places the organism in Eukaryota, Metazoa, Chordata, Aves, Anseriformes, Anatidae. The transcript has 7 exons.
CAAAAACAUGUAAAGUAUAAUUAUGAAAUAGAUAACGAUUCCUCCAUCCUUUCUCUCCUGUGGUGUAAAAAAACCCCUCAGGAAACUCCGAUGAAGAGGAGAGGACACAGUUCGUCCUGUUUUCUGAAAAGCACCCCCUCUCCUUGCAUAGCUGAAGCAAACAAGAGCUUUGAUUUUGAAGACUGAAGCCUACUUAUUUUGCCAAGAAGUUGUGAGUGAGGUUGCUAUGCUCACACCCUCCUUGCAAAGCACACCCCUGGAGAAAGCAACAAAUAGAGGGAAAAAAAAAAAAACAGUCUUUCAGCGUGACGAACCAUGUGCUACAUAUCUGUGUGCUUGACCCAGUGCAAAAAUACGCACAGCCAGACUGUGUUUUGGCCUCAGCAUGGCUGGCUGCCUGGUCUGGGCUAUUUCAGUCUGAGAGCCUUCUGCAAAGCUGAGAACAGAAGUGGAGGAUGAAGAGGUAACUGACUGCCUGGACAACUACUGCGACUGGAGGCUGUGCUAGAGCUGUUCAGAAGAACUGCUUUCCAGCUCUGCUCAGCUAGACAAGAUGAGGAGAAUGGGAACAAAGUAGGAAUUUUCUCACCCAGAUCUGUAAGCUGUUUUCAGCAUUGCUGAUAUGCAAGCUGCUCUAGUUUUGUUCCAACACAGUACAGGUGUGUCAUGUUGAGAUGCAAUAUGACCUGCUGCUAUUGCCAGAGCAUUCUGGACUGUGGAUCAUGAGCAGACAGAGCUAUUUAACUUCAGUUUCACUCCUGCUUUCCUGGAUUUCAGGUGCCCUCCUGUCCUCUCCAUUUCCUUUUGCCAGUGAUUUGGGUUGCCUUAACUUUGAAAGCUGCCUCUGUGGUGACUGUGUGGUCUGGUGACAGCUGAGUGCAGUGCUACGGUGACCAGGAGCUCUGAGCGAGGCACCACAGGGCAGGAGGCUGACAGUCACCUACAGACACGCUCCCUCAAGAACAUGCAUGUCAACAUGCAGCUGCAAUUGAAAUGGAAGUACACCUGUGCGCGUCACCACUGGCUGCUGCAAGCUGUUUGAGCCCCUGUAACGCUGAUGAGGGGAUGUCUCUGUGCCUUCAUCACCGAGCUAUUAAAGGCAAGCAUUUUUUUUUUCUAUUGUAAUCCCAACAAAACACCUAAAGGUAGCCUCAAUAACAAUGAAGUUAGACAUUCAGUACAUUGGAAUAUUUUAUUUUCACUUUACAUGCGGUGUUAAAAACCCAAAGAACGUAUUAUUUACACAUCCACAAUACAAGUUUACAAGAUAUCUAUACAUGUUAAAGUACUCUAUAGUAUAGAGCAGCUUCAUUUAAGGGUUACUUUUUUAUGCCGUACCAUUAAAAAAGAUACAAUCUGCGUUUACCUUUGCACAAAUGGAUAAAGCAUCUUUUAUUAUUAAAUUAACAGAAUAAAGACUAGGUUGAAUGUUAGAAAUUUCAACAUAAAUACUGAGAGAACUCACAUUACCAUCUACAAGGCAGCACAAUGUUACAGGAGGUUAUCAGGGUUCACAUACAUUUAUCUUUCGAUUUCACACAAGUCUGUAUUAAUUAAUAUUUGUAAAGUGAAUUCAGAUCAGUUUUUGUCUUUUGACAACCAAGUACUUUUUAUGCUAUUAAUCUGUAGUGUUUUAGUUGCAAAACAGAAGUGUUUAGGAAGAGAGAUCAUUGAUUUUUGGAUCCAGAGGUCUCAGGAAAUAAAUGUCCCUUACAGCCUUACAAGAAAAAAUGACUACUUCUGUCCUUUAUUCUUUGUUCUGUAACAGAGAUCCAGUUUUCAGUGACUAACCUUUUCUCCCCUUCAAACACAUAACAUAAAUCUCCACCGUCUCUGAAACCCAUUGCAGUUAUUUGUCCCGCUAAUUCAUGAAUAUUCCUCUGCCAUGGUUAUUUCUAGUUAUGUUCAAUAAACAAUGCGGUAGUGUGUAGUUUGCGAGCUAAAAUAGCCAUCUGUGUUGAACAUCAGCUGCAAGUGGAUACUGUAAAACCUACUAAAUAGCUUACACAACUUUAGCAGGUGUUCCAUUACCCUAGAAACCUCAUUUGAUUUCACAUUAUAACUGUUUGAUCCUUCGGAGAGCUGGAGUGGAAUGUUUAUCAUGGCAAGGUGAUUUAAUGCUGCUGUCUUCUUGGAUUGUAGGCUGCCUUUAGUUACUAUUAAUUAUCCUUGCUUUUUAUUUUUUUGGGGGGGGGGGCGGGGGGUUGCUAUUGAGAGGUUUUACAACUGGCACUCAGGAGAUAUGUGCUAUAGUGAGAACACCUGACAGGUUUGUUGUUGUUGUUGUUGUUGUUUUUUUUUUUUUUUUUAGUACUUUUAUCAUUUGCAUGAAUAAGGC